RNAcentral lists this ribosomal RNA (407 nucleotides) under uncultured bacterium. RNAcentral describes it as "bacterial SSU rRNA". It matches the Rfam family "Bacterial small subunit ribosomal RNA", at positions 28 to 439 of the family's 1533-position model. The record is from RNAcentral.
GACGAACGCUGGCGGCGUGCUUAACACAUGCAAGUCGAACGGUAAGGCCCUUCGGGGUACGACGAGUGGCGAACGGGUGGAGUAACACGUGGGUGAUCUGCCCUGCACUUCGGGAGUAAGCUUGGGAAACUGGGUCUAAUACCGGAUAGGACCACGGUCUGCAUGGAUUGUGGUGGAAAGCUUUUGCGGUGUGGGAUGGGCCCGCGGCCUAUCAGCUUGUUGGUGGGGUGAUGGCCUACCAAGGGCGACGACGGGUAGCCGGCCUGAGAGGGUGUCCGGCCACACUGGGACUGAGAUACGGCCCAGACUCCUACGGGAGGCAGCAGUGGGGAUAUUGCACAAUGGGCGCAAGCCUGAUGCAGCGACGCCGCGUGGGGGGAGUGACGGCUCGGUGUAACUACUUUCUA